RNAcentral lists this long non-coding RNA (9340 nucleotides) under Manihot esculenta (cassava). Its description in RNAcentral is "long non-coding RNA (MESC_LNC000020)". Lineage: Eukaryota; Viridiplantae; Streptophyta; Magnoliopsida; Malpighiales; Euphorbiaceae. The record is from RNAcentral.
CCCCUCGCAUGAUUCCAAUACAUGUAAGUUUGCUGCAUAUUCAAUGCUGGAAAAGACUCGCACAACAAACAUGUGAAUUAGAAUAAUGAAUCAGUGAACAAGCAAAACACUACCUCUUACAGAGUAUAAAAUUUUCAUUUGAAGGGAGGAAUAGGAGAAACAAGCAAUUACAAAAAUAUCCCUCCCUCUCAUGCUAACAGAAUUAAGAGGUUUUCCCUACCUACAUAAUCUAAUCAGAGGUUCUCCUUCCUUCCCCAUCGACCUAAUUAGACUAUAAUUAAGAGGUCACCUUCAGUAUUCCUUUAUCAUCUUUCUCACCUUAAUUUCUUUUUGUACUCCUUCAUUUCUAGUUUAUUGAAAACUAUCCUUUUUAAAUGCAUUGAUAAUGCUACAUGAGUAAUUUAUUAUAGCAGUACGAUAUUUGCUUCUUUAUUUAUUUUUCCAAAAAUGACACUAACAUGCUAUUUAAGUAAUAUAUUUCUGGAUUAUAUGUCAUAUACGUCCAAAGAAAAUAAAUAUUAACAUGUUACUUAGGUUCUAUGCUUCUUAAUUAUCUAAAAUUGCCUUUUUAUUUUAUUUUUUAAGUCUCAUUCUUUCAGAUGAACAUGUGCUUAGAGCCUAGGCCCCAAGACUCCUUUACGCCUUAGUGAGCCUUGAGCCUUUAAUAACUAUGGAUCUUAUGUAAGUUUUUUUUAUUAUUAAUCAUGUAUAUAUGUUUGUAUGUUUAUGUGUGUCAUAGGUGUGUGGCAUGUUCCCCGUGUGUUAUGUUUUGAUUUUAUAAAAAUUGUUAAAGUCCAGAGCCGUCUCUUGUCCAUGUCCACAUAAUCUACGAUUGUACUAUUUUAAUUACGGACUUUUAGUAUCAAUUCAAAUGUCACAUUUCAGUCUCAAAAGCUUGGGGUCUAACAAGUCACCUUACUUUGUUAUUGCAAUUUUACUUGAUGCCUAUCCCUUCAACUUAUGGUUAUCAAAAGAGUACAACAUGCAGCAGUAGAGGUGAGCAUUCGAUCUGUUUGGUUCGAUUCGGUUCGGUUUGAUCCAUUUAAAUUUUUAAUAAUUUUUUUAUUUUUUACACUUUAUUUUUAGCAUUUUAAAAUUUAAUUGGAAUAUUUUAACCUUAAUAUGAUCUAAUCUCUCUAUAUUAUUGAAAAUAAUAUAUUAUUAUACUAAUCGGUUCGGUUCGAUUUUUUUAAUUUUUUUUUCUGAUCAGAAUCGAACCGAAAUAACCAAAAAUUUUGAAAUUAAAAACCAAAUGAAUAAAAAACCGAACCAAAUUUUCAAAUUAAUUCGGUUCGGUCGGUUUUUUCGGUUUGAACCGAAUACUGCUCAUCCCUAUGCGGCAGGAUUAAGUUAUAAAAAAAAAAUUGAUAGAUGCUAGAGUAGAGAGGCAAGAAGGCAGCAUAAAAGAUGUUGUCACUUGCAAAAGGCCUUGCAAGUUCAUUCCUAGGCAUCACAAUUCACAAUCAUUUUUGUAAACAAAAUAUAAAGUUGGCAAUAAGACCAUAUUUGUUUCUCAGAAGGACUUUCGGGAAUGAUGGCUAGGAAAGGGAUACUCCAUUGUCUAAUUAUCCUCAAAAGCAAAUCAACAAAUAAAUCCAGAUGCACAUCCAUUAACUCUAUUAUUUUCUCCAAACUAUUUGAGGUCACUGAUUCGAGACCAGGACAGCAUUCCGGACAAUGCAUUCAAACUACCUAAAGCAUUAAAGAAAGCCUCAAAAUCCUGAAGAUAACUCUUGCAUGAUAAAUAUAAUUGUAGAGAGAGGAAGAGAGAAAGAGAGAGAGAGGGGUUACGAGAUAACUCUUGAAUCAAGAUUCCCGUACUUUCCCUGGAAAAAGCUAGUUUGAAAUCUUGUGAAAGCAACGCCAACUUUUAAAUCUAUCUCUUGCCGUGCAUCUACAGCCAAUGCCUCGUCUCUGUUGGGUUGAGCAAGGUUGUCCAGAGCCUUGAAAAUGUCUUUCUCAGUUACUGAAGAAAACCGUGCACGAUAUACCCUUCUUCUAGCAUCAUUUACGCGAAAACCAGUACAUUCAAUCACUGCAAGAACAAUUAAAAUUUAGGAAAAUUAACUUCAAGCAAAAAAACUGAAACUAAAUUGCAAAUGCCAUAACCUGUUUUAUACAAACUAAAUUGCAAAUGAUAGAGAAACUGUUAGGCUGUAAUGAUGCUUUACAUUAGGAGAACAGGAGAAACUCUUCAACAGAUACUAAAAUAGUUUUAUCAAAAGAUGAGAGAUUCCCCAACCACCAUUGUAUGAGACUGAUAGAGACUAACUCACAGCGCGUAAUUUAAGAUGCCAAAAUACAAACCAAUUUACUGAAUUUCACAAACAGGUCAUUCACAACCUAUAUGAAGGCUUCAAAUAAAUGAGAUGCUAAAAAAGUUCUUAGCAAUCACAACUCCAAAGCAAGAGAUAUAGCAGUAAACUUGCAAUCAAAUCAAAAACAUAACAGAUCAAACAUCACCCAAUGUUCCAAAGGUUGACAUGUGUGAAGAUACCAAUAGAAACACAAGAAAAGCCAAUGAAACUCUCAGGACAGCGCCAAUCACGUUGAGACAACGUUGGAGAGAGGAGUCACCCCAAAAAUAACCAUCACAAACUGGUGCAUAAGACGGCAGCAAAAGAUAAUGGAGAUUCAUGGGCUGUAUUCAAUAGUUUGGUGACUUGGACUUCUUAGAAACUACCGUUAGGUGGUCAAAAAACCUUUUCUAGCUAGCAAUGAGAGAAAUUGGUCUUCAAUUGGUGACCUAAUUUUCGUUGUGGAAGUUUGAAUUUCUGUGUAUAUUUCUCUGAGAAUGAUAAAAUAUUUAUAUACAAAAUAUCCUAUAAUCAUAUAUUCUAACUAGGAAAAUAUCCCUUUAAUUAUGCUAAUGUAUCCUAUAAGUAUGCUAAUAAUAUUUAAAUAAUUGACUUACUAUAAUACUCCCUCUCAAGUUGAAGCAUAUAUGUUAGGUAAAGUACACUUUAAUCCCUGAAUUUUAGCGUUACUAAUGGAUCUGUCCCUGUAUUUUUUAAAUUGAAUACUUAAAUUCCUCGAAAAUAAGUAUGUCCAAAUUAGAAGUCUUUUCAUCCAUAAUUCUAUUAAUCAACAAGCCAAAAGGAAAACAAACAUUUCAAAUAACUAAAAUACCUCAUGAACACUUAAAUCCCUACCAAUGUGAGUGAAGCAUUUUAUAUUGCAUCUUUAAAUCCCUCUAUAUUCAGUCGGUCCAAAACCAUUGUUCUUCCAUCCAUUAUACACAAUAAUUCAAAGCUAAUAGGUGGUCAAACAUCUAAAAAUACAAUUUUCUUCCUAAAAUAUCUUUGUGAAAGUCUACAAUAUAUUUUAAGUCUACUUGAUACCACUUAAAAAUAGCUGAAAAUCUAAAGUUGUAAACUUUUUCUUAAAGUUUUGAAAUCAUCAAAUAUUGAAGUAUUUUAAUGAAUAGAAAUUGAAGGACAAGUAUUAAAAAUUAGUUGAAUGUGAUAAUCUGAACAAAAAUUAAGGGGGACUUAAGUGUGCUUUCAAAUGAAAAAUGAAAGACCAAAGUGUUUAAAUUUUGAUAGAUAAGGAAAAAAGGACGGAAUCCUAAUUUUUUAAUAUUUUUAAUUUAAAAAGAGGGCAAUAAAAAUAUUUGUACGCUUUUAAUGGCAACAAAAUAAAUGAACAUGCUAGAGUUUAGACGAACUGAUUAUAAAAAGAUUUAAGUAUCAAUUUUAAAAAUAUACAAACUUAUUCAUUAAUUAUGCUAAAACUUAAGAAUUAAAGUGUAAUUUCCCCCUUUAAAAGGGUAAGAAAGACAUCUCCGACAAACAAUGAAUGAAAGGACCGCUUAUACAUAUUGGAAGGGAAUCCAAAUUCUGGUUCAUCUCAAGCUUUUUUUAGAGAAAAUAAGGAUGUCAAUUAAGAAAUCAUAUAGUGGCAUAAACCAUUAGGACAUCUAUCAUUUUAUGUUCUAGAAACACUUUAUCUAAUAAGUAAGGACUCAAUUUGGUUCUUUAUUUUGUUCUUUAUUUUGUGAUGCUUAUAAGCAUGCUAAGCAUACAAGAAGCUCUUAUUCUUUGAGAAAUAAUAGGAGUAUGACCCUUUUUAUGACUAUCCAUUCUGCUUUUAGGGACCUACACAGACUAUUUCCCUAUCUGUUAGUCAUUGAUUUGUUACUUUUAUUGAUUGCUACACUUGAAUGACUUGGGUUUAUUUGAUAAAGACAAAAUGUGAUGUGUUUUCUUGUUUUUAAUCUUUUCACAAGAUUUGUUUAUACUCAGUCUAGUAGGAUACUACAUCAAACUUGUUGUCCCUGCACUGGUGCCCAAAAUAGUGUUGUUGAAAGGAAAAUAGGCACCUGUUGGAAGUAACAGGAUCUCUUCUUUUCACCAUAAAUCUUCAAAAAACCUAUUGAGGAGAUGUGGUCUGCUUAUCUCGUUAAUAAAAUGCCUCUCAAAGCUAUUGCCUUUAAAAGUCCCCUCUUGCCUUUAAAGGUCCUUUAGAGGUGCCACAAGAAAGAAUUGCUUAUAAUGCUCCACUCAAGAUGUUUGGAUGUACGUGCUUUGUUCAUGCUAAGAUAAUUGGGAAAGUAGAUCCCAUGGCUUUUAAAUGUGUGUUCGUUGGGUAUUCUCCCACACAAAAGGAUUACAAGUGUUACCCUCCUCCAUCUAGAAAACAUUUUAUCAGUAUGGAUAUUACGUUUAGAGACUGAACCUUACUUCAGUACCACCUCAUCACCUCUCCAAGAGCAAUGAGAGAGAAGAUUCCUAAUCCUAUAACUCUAGAGCAUUUUACUCAAAGAACGACUAUUGUUGAUCAGGGAGAGAUAACUGAAUAUUUAGAUAAACCAGAUUUAAGAAGAUACUCAAGAAGUAGAAAAAGUCAUUGUGCAACCUACUCGCUGUCAAGAAUUUUCCUCGUAUCCAUCUGGUGAGUUAUUUCUAACCCUUGAACCCAUUGAUGAUCUAAAUAAAUCAACUGAUAAAAAAAAAAGGAAUUAUGUCGUGCACUAAACACUUUAUUUCUAACUUUCUCUCUCAUGACUCCUUGUCUCCAUCCUAUAAAGCUUUUAUCUUGUCUAUUUCCUCUAUAUCUAUCCCACAAAAUUAAAAGAAAGCUUUCAAAUAUUCUAAAUGGAAGAGAGCAAUGGUCGAAGAAAUGAAAGGCUCGGCAAAAUUGAGACCUAAGAGUUUGUAUCUAUUCCACCUAGAAAAAAACCAAUUGGUUGUGUUGAAUCUCACAUCGGUUGUGGAAAGGGGUAAUGUGCCCCUUAUAUGAGCCAUAGGCACUCCUCCCCUUGAGCUAGCUUUUGGGGUGAGUUAGGCCUGCCCCAAAUUUAAACAUGGUAUCAAAGUCUCUCCAUCCGAUGUUGGGCCUCCUAUAAAUAUGUCACACACCAGUAAAAUUCUGAGCGUGAGGGGGGUGUGUUGAAUCCCACAUCAAUUGUGGAAAGGGGUAGUGUGCCCCUUAUAUGGGCCAUAGGCACUCCUCCCCCUUGAGCUAGCUUUUGGGGUGAGUUAGGCCUAGCCCAAAUUUAAACAGGUUGCAAUUGGUAUUCACUGUGAAACACAAAGCUGAUGAUUUAAUUGAAAGGUUCAAGGCUAGAUUGGUUGCCAAGGAAUUCACUCAAAUUUAUGGAGUGGAUUACCAAAAAACAUUUGCCUUUAUUGCUAAAACAAACUCAAUUAGUGUUCUAUUAUCUUGCGCUACUAAUCUUGAUUAGGACUUACAGCAAUUUGAUAGGAAAAAUGCAUUUUUCCAUGGAAAUUUAGAAGAUAAGGUGUAGAUGGAGAUUCCUCCAAGCUUUGCUAAUGAGAAAGCCCAAAAAAAGGUAUGCAGAUUGAAGAAGGCCUUGUAUGGACUAAAACAGUCGCCUAGAGCAUAGCUUGACAAAUUUAGCAAACCCAUGAUUUCUUUUGAUUAUCAAUAGAACAAUGUUGAUCAUACCCUAUUUAUGGAUAAAAUCACUCUUUUUAUAGUUCAUGAUGACAUCAUUAUGAUAGGAGAUGACAAAGAAAAAAUGGCUCGUUUAAAGAAGCUUUUUGGCUCAGGAAUUUGAGAUGACAAAUCUAGGAAAGCUUCAGUAUUUUCUAGGAGUUGAGGUUGCCAGAUCAAAGAGGGAAAUCUUUAUUUCUCAGAGGAAGUAUAUUUUGGAUCUUCUUGAAGAGACUAGUAUGUUAGGCUGCAAACCAGUAGAGUCUCCCAUGAAGUGCAAUCAAAAGCUAUAACUAGAAUUGGUGAGUCUAUGGAUUGGUAGGUACUAAAGAUUAGUGAGGAGAUUGAUUUAUCUCUCACACAUUCGACUAAACAUUGCAUAUACAGUUAGCUUAGUAUGUCAGUUCAUGCAUGAUGCACGCGACUCACAUAUACAAGCUGUUUUCUGCAUUCUGCAACAUAUUAAGUCUAUUCUUGGGAAAUGUCUCCUUUUCUCCAAACAUGAUAAUCUUUAAGUAGAAGCCUUUACAAAUGCAAAUUGGGUUGGAUCACCUUAUGAUAAGAGAUCAACCUUUGGUUGCUGCACAAUAGUGGUGGGAGGAAACCUUGUUACUUGGAGAAGUAAAAUGCAAACUGUUGUUGCUCGGUUAAGUGCUAAAGUCGAGUAUAGAGCAAUGGCUCAAGGAGCACACGAACUUUUGUGGUUGCAAAGGCUAUUGGAGGAAUUGAAAGGGCAAAUUACUCAUGCACUUUGACAACAAAGCUGCCAUCAAUAUAGCUCAAAACCUGAUCCAACAUACAAACAAAGUACAUAAAGAUUGAUUGGCACUUCAUUAAAAAUAAUAGAUGGUGUCUUGAACUUAGCCCAUGUGACUUCUGGCAUGCAACUAGCUGAUGUGUUCACUAUGGGCUUAAUAAUAGGACCUAUCACAACUUGGUUUGCAAAUUGGGCAUUAGUAAUAUCUAUUCACUAACUUGAGGGGGAGUGUUGACCAGUAAGGAGAUCUUUAGGAUAUAAUUACAAAGAUUAAGGGUUGAUCUCAUGCCAUAUUUUAGACUAAAUUAUAGGACAUAAUUGUAGAGAUUUUAUUCCUUCUAAUUUUCUUAUUAGCUUUGAUUCUUUAUGUAUAAAUUAGAAUGCACAUAGCUUAUAAAUAUCAAUUUUUACAGUAAUAAACUCUCUCAAAAUCUUCAAAAAGGUUGCUACCUAACUUCAAAUUCAUAUUAUGUUGAUAGCAAGAUUUUCUUAUCUGUUGUGAUUGUGUCCCAAUAAGAAAGCUUUACUACUACCUUUUGGUUGCAAAGUGAUUUGUGUUUCGCUAAGUAGUUUCCUCACAAAUUGCACAUUCACUAUUUGAUGUAAAGUCACAUUGUUGGACUACAAGAAAUCAACAAAUAUAACAAGAUGAAUGUGUUUGGUGGAUGAACAGGCAAGCGAUCACAAUAAAAUUAAGAAAUCUUGAUCAAACCCAGUCUGAUACCAAAUUAACAUACAACCAAUAGAGUGAUCAAAAGGGAAAGAACUAAAACUCUCAAAUUUAUAUUAAUCCUCAAUUUCAAUUGUCAACAACAACUACUACUACCACUGCAAUAAGAAGAAGAAGAAGAAAAAGAACUAAAACUCUCAAAAUUAAAACGAGAACAAGAACAAGCUCUCAGAGAAUACUUGAAUUACGUUAGUAUUUAUAGACUAAUAACUAAUCCUAUUGCUAUUAGGAUUAGGAAUUUAGGAAAGGGGCCAAAAUACGAAAACACUACAUCAAUGCCAACUAGAAAAUUGCUAAACCUAAAAUGAAGGAAUUAUUCAUAAAAAAUAAUAGAAUUGCAGGAAUUAUUCUUAAAGAAUAAUAGAAUAGCUAAAUAAUAGAAAAACAGACUUUCUAAUUGUACUAGAAAAUUAGAUUGAAGAUUUUUUUAAUUUCAAAAUAAUUCCCAAAUCUAGUUCUUGGCAACAUUAUGUAGAACCAAUAGUACAAACAAAUGUGAAAGAACUAAAACUAACCAAUUUAUGUUAAUUCCCAAUUUCAAUGGUUGAUCAUAAAGGCUACAUCUUUACUCAAUUACUAUAUCUCUUUAUAUAGUACAUAUUGCAUAUUUAUAAUACUAAAACUACCAAGAUUUAAAUUUUUAAAUUCAGGAAGACAUAUCCCUCAAAUUAAGAGACAAUUCAUUCCUAAAUUAAGGAGUAAUCUUCUCCAUAGUUUAAGGACAAUCUCAUCCAUUUUGACACUCACCUUAAUGAGAUUAUUAUUAUUAUUCUAUCCAAAGGUCAACUCAUAAGUAACACAAAACAUCAAAACUAAAACCAACAGUAAAAAAGUGACCCAAAAGUUCUCCUUGGAAGCAUUGCAAUGGGUCUAGGACCAAAGCAGGUGUACAAACACCUUCAAAAGGAAGCAACAAACUUGGUGUUAGAGACGCAUUCGUCGACAAGGCUUAUGCAAGAAGAGGACAAUCAGAACUACAGGAUAAAGAAGGAAAGAACGUCUCAAUUAGCAGCAAUGAUUGAUCAUGAUUUCAGCAGCAAUUUAAGAUAGUAAUCAGCAGAAAUUUAAGAUUGUAAUAAGCUUAAUUCAAGCCUUUAAGUUUAGGCUGCAAUUAAGCUUGUCUUUCCUUGUUAAAUUCCAUGGAAUCUCUCUAUAUAAGGAGAACAUGUUUAUGAAAUAAAGACAUGCAGAAUUUGAUUACCAACACAAGAGGUCUUAAGCUCCCUCUCACGAGCUUUCUUCUGUGUCAUCAUAGGUCAUUCCAGGAAGGGUCGAAAUAUCAACAAAGGGGAUCUGUCCCUUUUCACUGAGGAUUUCACUUUUUCACGACCUGUGACUUGAUUCUCUCUCAGGGCACACAACACUUGGCUAGGCUUCCUGCUCCCCAUUGAAAGUUGGUUAAAAGAACAGGGCUUUAGGAUUGAAAUUUACGGAGAAAGAGAGUUUAGGGACUCAAACCAAUCGGAAGGAGAACAGCUUUUGGGACUCAAACCAUAGCUUUAUGAAGAAAAAGAAACAUAGUAGGGACUUCAAACCCUGGUCAUAAAGGAGAAGAGGUGCAAGGACUUCACCCAGGCUCUAAAAGGAAUGCAAAAGGAGAGGAAUGCCCAAAACUUUGAGGAGAAAGGAGAUCCAAUAUCUUAUACCACAAACCCAAGCCUAUUGUAAUUGAGGAGAAAUAAAUUCUGCCCAUUAAAGCGUACUCGUAGGACCAAGAAAUUCAUUUGUAAUACUCUAAGGAAUAACUGCAACUUUUUGUAAGAAUCCCUAUAGAUGAAACCCUAAAAUCACAGUAGGUGAAACACACAAUACCCAAAAAAAAUUGAUGACAAAGCAACAGCCAAGAGAAAAGGGAAAGUGAGCUGGGACUCCAAACCCAACUUUGAAUUGCGAAGAAGAAGAGCAGGAAAAGAGACUCAAAAAUUUUAAUGGCUUUGAUACCAUGUGAAGUUUUU